RNAcentral lists this ribosomal RNA (468 nucleotides) under uncultured bacterium. Its description in RNAcentral is "partial 16S ribosomal RNA". It matches the Rfam family "Bacterial small subunit ribosomal RNA", at positions 28 to 507 of the family's 1533-position model. The record is from RNAcentral.
GACGAACGCUGGCGGCGUGCUUAACACAUGCAAGUCGAACGGAAAGGCCCUGCUUUUGUGGGGUGAUCGAGUGGCGAACGGGUGAGUAACACGUGAGUAACCUGCCCUUGACUUUGGGAUAACUUCAGGAAACUGGGGCUAAUACCGGAUAGGAGCUCCUGCUGCAUGGUGGGGGUUGGAAAGUUUCGGCGGUUGGGGAUGGACUCGCGGCUUAUCAGCUUGUUGGUGGGGUAGUGGCUUACCAAGGCUUUGACGGGUAGCCGGCCUGAGAGGGUGACCGGCCACAUUGGGACUGAGAUACGGCCCAGACUCCUACGGGAGGCAGCAGUGGGGAAUAUUGCACAAUGGGCGGAAGCCUGAUGCAGCAACGCCGCGUGCGGGAUGACGGCCUUCGGGUUGUAAACCGCUUUCGCCUGUGACGAAGCGUGAGUGACGGUAAUGGGUAAAGAAGCACCGGCUAGCUACGUG